Molecule: small nuclear RNA, 109 nt
Filed under: Chinchilla lanigera (long-tailed chinchilla)
Lineage: Eukaryota; Metazoa; Chordata; Mammalia; Rodentia; Chinchillidae
Source: RNAcentral
GUGCUUGCUUCAGCAGCACAUAUUCUAAUAAACUGGAACAAUACAGAGAAGAUUAGCAUGGCCCCUGCACAAGGAUGACAUGCAAAUUCAUGAAAUGCUCCAUAUUUUU